CACUUCUGAGUCGUUUUUGGAUCUGCUCCUCUGUUUCUAUACCCUUGUAUAACCAAUUGGGCAGAGAAUAAAUCAAUGAUGUCAUAUAGUUAUAUGGUUAAGAACUAAAUAAACCAUCACAUGAGCCUAGCUAAACACUACAUUUCACCUUCAUCUAUCUCUCUGAAAUCUGAAGCAGAAAAUGCAUCAAAAAGCCCACAACAAUUCCACCAUGUUGCCAGUUUUCCUUAAGCAAUCACCGCCACCAUCCUCGUACCUCUGUUUUCUAUGUACCUGAAAGGCAAAAAUCAUACAUAAAGCUAUUAGAUACAGAAGUUUGAGACCUGUAAGAGCUACUGAAUGGAACUCAAAUCUAAAAGAGAAGCCCAUGGUAUCAGAUUCUACUUCUAUCUGGCUCGUUUCCUGCACUGCUCCUCCCUUGACGUACCUGCAGACGAGCAAUGUCGACGGCACCACGUACAGGCUGGGCUGUUUGUGAAGCGAUGUCGCCGAUGGAGU
RNAcentral lists this long non-coding RNA (498 nucleotides) under Setaria italica (foxtail millet). RNAcentral describes it as "long non-coding RNA (SITA_LNC004686)". The record is from RNAcentral. Lineage: Eukaryota; Viridiplantae; Streptophyta; Magnoliopsida; Poales; Poaceae.